Molecule: ribosomal RNA, 804 nt
Filed under: uncultured Caryophanaceae bacterium
Lineage: Bacteria; Bacillati; Bacillota; Bacilli; Caryophanales; Caryophanaceae
Description: bacterial SSU rRNA
Rfam family: Bacterial small subunit ribosomal RNA
Source: RNAcentral
AGAGUUUGAUCAUGGCUCAGGACGAACGCUGGCGGCGUGCCUAAUACAUGCAAGUCGAGCGGAAACUUGGGAGCUUGCUCCCGAGUUUUAGCGGCGGACGGGUGAGUAACACGUGGGCAACCUGCCCUGCAGAUCGGGAUAACUCCGGGAAACCGGUGCUAAUACCGAAUAGUUUAUCGCCUCUCCUGAGGCGGUACGGAAAGACGGUUUCGGCUGUCACUGCAGGAUGGGCCCGCGGCGCAUUAGCUAGUUGGUGGGGUAAUGGCCCACCAAGGCGACGAUGCGUAGCCGACCUGAGAGGGUGAUCGGCCACACUGGGACUGAGACACGGCCCAGACUCCUACGGGAGGCAGCAGUAGGGAAUCUUCCGCAAUGGACGCAAGUCUGACGGAGCAACGCCGCGUGAGUGACGAAGGUUUUCGGAUCGUAAAACUCUGUUGUGAGGGAAGAACAAGUGCCAACUAACUACUGGCACCUUGACGGUACCUCACCAGAAAGCCACGGCUAACUACGUGCCAGCAGCCGCGGUAAUACGUAGGUGGCAAGCGUUGUCCGGAAUUAUUGGGCGUAAAGCGCGCGCAGGCGGUCCUUUAAGUCUGAUGUGAAAGCCCACGGCUCAACCGUGGAGGGUCAUUGGAAACUGGAGGACUUGAGUGCAGAAGAGGAAAGUGGAAUUCCAUGUGUAGCGGUGAAAUGCGUAGAGAUGUGGAGGAACACCAGUGGCGAAGGCGACUUUCUGGUCUGUAACUGACGCUGAGGCGCGAAAGCGUGGGGAGCAAACAGGAUUAGAUACCCCCGUAGUCC